This is an RNA transcript of Lolium rigidum, 3484 nucleotides long. RefSeq lists it as uncharacterized. The record is from RefSeq and is a predicted model, not a curated record. The transcript has 2 exons. Lineage: Eukaryota; Viridiplantae; Streptophyta; Magnoliopsida; Poales; Poaceae.
ACAUGUUCAUCCUUAUAGUGUAGCAUAUCAUUCUUACUGUGAGGAGAGAACAGGCUGAAUGAUUCAGUUAAAAGUGAAUUUCCUUGUCGAUAGAAAGGUUAGAAGGAAAUAAAUGGCAGCUUUAAACUUUAUGUAGUGUUCAUUAUUUCUUUGUAUAAUCUUUACCUCGCCCUACUUUUAUAUGUUUCAUAUACCGCUCGUCCGCAAAUGAUGGGUAUGAGGUGAUGGAAAUGUCAACGGUUGCAUCUCAUGGCAGUGUUCUGACACCCUCCUUAUCUAGGUCCGCUGUCAUGGCCGCCAGAUGCAGAAUCCAUGGGGGCAAACCAUGUUCGUUGUCGUACGGAAGCCAUGCCACAAUGGGUAUGCAUGACACUUAUUCAAUGUCUCAGGACCAUCGAGCAUGAUCAAGAAGAAAUACAGAAUGUUCUGAGCAGGUAUGUACAUUCCAGCGACAGAUGCUCUAUUUCAAAAUUCUAAGCUUCCUGGCGGUUUUAUCUUGGUGACCAUAUGUAUUGCUUCAGAUAUUAGAAAGUUGAGAUGAUCAGAAUAAUUUAAAUCUAAAUGUUUAGAAGAACAGGUAUCAGAAUAAUUGCAGCCGUAUUGGUACUCUUGGCACAUCCUAUGCUAUGCUAUUAUCAGAAAAAAUGGAACUGUAGCAAUUCCAUUACGACACAUGCUCGGCUAAAUCACCUGUCACCAGGACAUGUACAAAUUUCGGAGCCCACUCCAUCCAUAGUGACUUAGGAAUGUGCCGUCUCUCACCCCCAUCAAGUACCAUGCUUUGAUCCAAGUUGGUGCUCAGAGAAUUGUUUGCAGAUGACUGAGAUAAAAUUCUAAAUUCUAAAUUUAUUUAGAAGAAUAUUACAUAUGUGAGUACUGAGUAUAAUGCAAAAGAAAAAUUGACCUUCUCGGCUCAAUCCUCUAUCAAGAAGCAUAUGAAAAUCAUAAAAUUGAAAUAAUCUGAUUAUCUAUGAAAUACCUUAGUGGUCUUCGUUGUUGGAGUCUCAUGGUUCAGAUUAUGCCCACAAUUUUUAUUUGAGUUUCUUAACAGGUCAGAGGUGAAACAAUAAUAUUUUCAAGUUAAUCAAGUGUGCAGUCUUUAUACAGUUAAAAUGUACUGUUGGCAGAGUGUUCUAAUUGAUGUUUCCAAAUGUAAGUUAUGCAUGAUCUGGGUGUCCCAUUUCAAAUAUGUUUGUUUGUGUCUCUCAUUCUAACUUUUGUUCCUCUUGAUGCAAAUAUGUACUUGCUAUUCUAUAAAACAUAGUAUGGUGUUGUUUAGAUCCUGGCUCAUUAGAGACCUUGAAACAUGCAUGAAGAGGAGAGUUGUGCUCCCUGCCAGACAUAUGCAUAGUCCAUUGACAGAUCAUCUAUUCUUUUACUACAACAUAAAUCCCGAAACCUAACUGUUCUUUUUCGAUUGACUGAAUGUAAUGAAGACGAGCUGAAAAGGUUGGAGAUCGACAGUUCAUACUAUAAAUCCCGAGACUUGCUGUUCUUUUGGAUUGGGUAUAUUUAAUGAACAUCCGUUGAAAAGGUAGAAGAUCUCAGUUUGUUGCUUCCACGGUUCCACCUCAGGAUCCCAGUUAUAAAUUUGCUUCUUUUGUGUGCUUGUGCAAGUGCCAUUCUUUUAAUUUUUCUUGGGGUGUCAGACCUGUCGCACUUUCUCAUGCCUUCCAAUGAAUUUCUUAAUAUUAGGAUUUGUCCAUGCAAAAAAACAUAUCUAAAGGACAACUGGAGAUAUUUAAUGUGGAGAUUUUAGAAGUACACAAUUACUCCUUAGGAUUUUGGAGAUUAAGCCCGAAAGAGUUCUGUUCCGUGUCUUCGACCAUAUGUUUGUGCAUUGGCUUACGAAGUGGACAACCAUUACCAUGAUCAAUCAUGUACGUCAGAGUUUGCCUCGCUAUGCUUGCAUGAUUAACUCACCAAAGUAUACUUGGUAACGUUAAUGCCAGGACUUACCUUUCCGGUAAAUACAGAAAAAUGCCUGAAACUUCGCAAGUUUUAUGCCUCCUUCUAUGCAGUGUUUUUACCUGAAUGUCCACUCUUCCGUUUCUGUGCAGAUGCUAUUGGUAUAUUGGAAUCUAUAUGGUCUGUUGUCACCAAUUGAUGUUUAAGGUCGCCCAAGCGGUUCUAAGUCUCUCAGCAAGCUACCGGUCUGGAGUCGCAUACAAAUAUUUUUGGAGAUUGCUUUGCGUGAAAGGCCACAUGGAUAUUUGUGCCUUUUUGAGCUUAUCUGUGAGAAAUCAAAUGGAGUUGAGAUGACCACUAUAUAAGAGUUGCGUGUUAUGAAUCUACAUAUAGGAUUGGUAAGUAUUUGUUGUUUACUCGACGGUUUACCUUUAAAUAGGACAUUGCAUUGUGUUUCACAGUGUAAACUGCUCGUAUGCAAAACUAAGAUUGAUGACUUGCAGCGCAACCAGAACUGGUGUUUUCUUUCAUGUGAUGGUUGUACUUGGAAGUUAAUUCUAGAAGAUACUGUUUAGAGGUAUUCCAAGGAGCAUGCUCAAACUAAACCACGAGCCUAGUUAAUAGGAUUUUUAGUUUACUUCAGAUAAUUAUUAUAUUGCAGCAGGAGAAAGCUUUGUUGUUGAGGUGGUUUUAUUUUGUGAUAUAUUACCUCUGUACAGAAUUAUAAGACGGUACAGUGUGGUAAAACGUCUUAUAAAUCGGUACAGAGGGAGUAGGCCAAGACUGAAAUCAGUAAAAGUGUUAAUGUUCCGGUGACUGAAACCCAUAUGUGCUGUCUAUCGAGCCUACAGAAAUCUCUAUUUUGGUUUGGAGGAAUUAGUUCAUGGGUGUCACCAUUUCAUAGUAGUAAUUCUUAGAAAAGACGUCCCUUUCCAAGUCCUUCGGUUUUACCAAUAAGGCUACAUUAUUUUUGCCUUUGCAUCAUCUGGAUCAUAUGCCGGCAAAACAUGGUUCAGGGUUAUUACAUGCUUUUCUGUUUGCAUUGUGUAAUACUCACCUAUUGUUUGCUAAAGCCAGGCAAGGAAGUGGCGACAAGGGGGUCGAGUCACCUGGGAUUGAUGCAGCUCUUCUUUCAGGAUCAGACACUCCACCUGCUAUUCUGGUUUGUAUGGAAACGGUUAUUAGUUGAGCCCUUUCAACCCAGUGACUUAUAAUGUUCAAUUGAGGAAGACUCUCCAUAGAAUCUACGGGCAGUGAGAAGGCCGGGGAUAUAGUUGAUGCCAUCUAACCAAUUUUCCAAAGAAUGCAGUGCCUCGGGCGUUGAUUUAUUGUUGCCUCACAUUUCGUAGAUGGUUGUUGGUUGCCGGCAUUGAAGAAAAUUUGUUUGACAAUGCACAAAGAGGUCGACCAUAUGUUUCAUGCCGAGACAUUAUGGUUGCUGGACUACAUCCAUUUUGAUUGUAUCCUAUUUGCCUUUUUUUUAGGCCAGCCUAUGAAUAAAUGUAUCAACAGCGACAAACUUUUUAUUUGUUGCGGACUAAGAGGUGAAAUUGAGGUCAUGAUGUUGUCUACCCUA